RNAcentral lists this ribosomal RNA (485 nucleotides) under uncultured bacterium. RNAcentral's name for it is "partial 16S ribosomal RNA". It matches the Rfam family "Bacterial small subunit ribosomal RNA", at positions 28 to 507 of the family's 1533-position model. The record is from RNAcentral.
GAUGAACGCUAGCGACAGGCUUAACACAUGCAAGUCGAGGGGCAGCACAGGUAGCAAUACCGGGUGGCGACCGGCGCACGGGUGAGUAACGCGUAUGCAACUUACCUAUCAGAGGGGGAUAACCCGGCGAAAGUCGGACUAAUACCGCAUGAAGCAGGGGUCCCGCAUGGGGAUAUUUGCUAAAGAUUCAUCGCUGAUAGAUAGGCAUGCGUUCCAUUAGGCAGUUGGCGGGGUAACGGCCCACCAAACCGACGAUGGAUAGGGGUUCUGAGAGGUAGGUCCCCCACAUUUGUACUGAGUCACGGACCAAACUCCUACGGGAGGCAGCAGUGAGGAAUAUUGGUCAAUGGCCGGGAGGCUGAACCAGCCAAGUCGCGUGAGGGAUGAAGGUUCUAUGGAUCGUAAACCUCUUUUAGAAGGGAAUAGAGUGCGGGACGUGUCCCGUUUUGUAUGUACCUUAUGAAUAAGGAUCGGCUAACUCCGUG